AAACCUGAGAAACCCGAAAGAUCGAAUGGGGAGAAUCAUCGUCAGCGAAUCCCGGCGAGGGCCUCGCCUCGAAUAGGGCGACCCCCGGUCGCCCGGCCAGCUGCCCGGCGGUACUUGCACGGUACUGAGCCGCACACGAAAUCGAGAUGCGUCCGGCCUGCCGCAAGCUUGGCGCCGUCACCGUGCCUGGCCGGCUGUUGGCCGGCGGUGCUCUGGGACUGGCUCGGAAUUACCGGUCGGCGACGCUACUGCUUUGGGUACUUUCACGACCCGUCUUGAAACACGGACCAAGGAGUCUAACAUGUGCGCAAGUCAUUGGGAUCUCGAGGCCCAGAGGCGCAAUGAAAGUGAAGGUCGACCCCGCGCCGACCGAGGGAGGAUGUUCCGCGUUACGAUGCAGUCUCGCACUCCCGGGGCGUCUCGCUCUCAU
This 430-nucleotide ribosomal RNA is filed under the name Heteropelma amictum. Its description in RNAcentral is "eukaryotic LSU rRNA". It matches the Rfam family "Eukaryotic large subunit ribosomal RNA", at positions 574 to 780 of the family's 3401-position model. The record is from RNAcentral. Lineage: Eukaryota; Metazoa; Arthropoda; Insecta; Hymenoptera; Ichneumonidae.